UGCAACUCGACUCCAUGAAGCUGGAUUCGCUAGUAAUCGCGCAUCAGCCAUGGCGCGGUGAAUACGUUCCCGGGCCUUGUACACACCGCCCGUCAAGCCAUGGGAGUCGGGAGUGCCUGAAGUUCGUGACCGUCACGGGAGCGACCUAAGGCAAGACCGAUGACUGGGGCUAAGUCGUAACAAGGUAAC
RNAcentral lists this ribosomal RNA (189 nucleotides) under uncultured bacterium. RNAcentral's name for it is "partial 16S ribosomal RNA". It matches the Rfam family "Bacterial small subunit ribosomal RNA", at positions 1306 to 1500 of the family's 1533-position model. The record is from RNAcentral.